CGGGCCAUACAUCUUUUUAGGCCGAAGUAGGCGCCAGUGAAUGGAACCGUCUCCGCAAAGGCAAUUUCGUUUUCUGUAGGUGGUUUGGUUUGGUUUGAUUAACUAGCACUAUACCAAUCAUUGAUUGAGCUUUAAUUUUUAGGCUGCGAGCGAUUUGCCAUUUGAUUUGAAUGUUUUGUAUUUGUCCAAUCAAAUGUCAGACCUCUUAAUUAAAAGCACAAGAAAGUGUUACAAACCCAGGGAUCGGAGUACUCAAAAGUCGAGACUUUGGCAGCUAGAGAGAGUGACCUUUUCCUUGUUUAAGCUAAUGUUACUGUUACUGGUAUAUUAAAUUUCCCUCUCCUUCGUCAAGAGGGAAAACCUGGUGGUUGGAACUUAAGAAAAUGUUUAUUUAGAUUCACGCAUGGAAUUGGAAGAGCUGAUGGGGCAUAUGUAAAACCUGGAAUCUCUUGACAAAUUUCUGUUUCCGUUGGCUGUAAAUGUUAUUGUAUUUCUAUUUCCACUCGAAGAAAUCGUAUGAGACAGGAAAUUGUCGUCAGGUUGUUGGUGAAACUUAGGUAUAUAUCUUGACUUAGAGCCUUGGAGGUUGCAUAUGAAAAAAAAAAAGGGGGGGCAUUUGCCACUAUUGUAACCAAUGUAUUGAAUUGAUGCAUACUUUUCAUUCCCCACGAAGAACUUUGGAGAACAUAUUCCCCUCGGAGAAGGUAAGACUUGGG
RNAcentral lists this long non-coding RNA (716 nucleotides) under Theobroma cacao (cacao). RNAcentral describes it as "long non-coding RNA (TCAC_LNC002832)". Lineage: Eukaryota; Viridiplantae; Streptophyta; Magnoliopsida; Malvales; Malvaceae. The record is from RNAcentral.